RNAcentral lists this ribosomal RNA (163 nucleotides) under Dalechampia aff. gentryi BGB-2009. RNAcentral describes it as "5.8S ribosomal RNA". It matches the Rfam family "5.8S ribosomal RNA". Rfam says of the family: 5.8S ribosomal RNA (5.8S rRNA) is a component of the large subunit of the eukaryotic ribosome. Lineage: Eukaryota; Viridiplantae; Streptophyta; Magnoliopsida; Malpighiales; Euphorbiaceae. The record is from RNAcentral.
UAACGACUCUCGGCAACGGAUAUCUCGGCUCUCGCAUCGAUGAARAACGCAGCAAAAUGSGAUACUUGGUGUGAAUUGCAGAAUCCCSUGAAUCAUCGAGUUUUUGAACGCAAGUUGCGCCCAAAGCCUUCCGGCCGAGGGCACGUCUGCCUGGGUGUCACGC